CUCCGCCUCAGUGGCUGGUGAGGCACAACCAAAAUGGAGGACCCCAUAUGCCUGAACACCCAGGGAAAACCUGAUACCAUGAUCCCAGUGAGUGUUACCCAUAAGCUAAAAAUCCAGAAGUUUAAAGAUCCUGAUUUCUAAUCUUGGGUUGUGACUUCAGCAGACAGGUUGAAUGCAACAUACCAAUGGACAUGUAAGACCACCUACUCAUUGGGCCCUACCAUCUCUAUUAAUAACCUUAUCUUGGAAAAUUCCAGCUGUAAAGCUCAUGGACUGGAUAAAUCAGGAAUGCUGGAAAAAGGUCACCCUUCCAUAUAUGUCCAAAUCAGAGUAACCCAGCACUGAAAGACAACAAAGAACAGUGACUGCUGGCCUUUCACCAUUUU
Oxyura jamaicensis (ruddy duck) is the source of this 386-nucleotide long non-coding RNA. RefSeq lists it as uncharacterized. The record is from RefSeq and is a predicted model, not a curated record. NCBI's taxonomy places the organism in Eukaryota, Metazoa, Chordata, Aves, Anseriformes, Anatidae. The transcript is spliced from 4 exons.